CCUACGGGCGGCAGCAGUGAGGAAUAUUGGUCAAUGGCCGUAAGGCUGAACCAGCCAAGUAGCGUGAGGGAAGAAUGCCCUAUGGGUUGUAAACCUCUUUUAUGCGGGGAUAAAGGUGUCCACGUGUGGAUGUUUGCAGGUACCGCAUGAAUAAGGAUCGGCUAAUUCCGUGCCAGCAGCCGCGGUAAUACGGAGGGUCCGGGCGUUAUCCGGAUUUAUUGGGUUUAAAUGGUGCGUAGGGCGGUCUUUAAGGCUGCCGUGAAAUUUUGUGGCUCAACCAUAAGAUGGCGGCGGAAACUGGAAACCUUGAGUGCGUGGAAGGUAGGCGGAAUUCGUGGUGUAGCGGUGAAAUGCUUAGAUAUCACGAAGAACCCCGAUUGCGAAGGCAGCCUGCCGAGCCAUUACUGACGCUGAAGCUCGAAAGCGCGGGUAUCGAACAGGAUUAGAUACCCCUGUAGUC
Molecule: ribosomal RNA, 460 nt
Filed under: uncultured bacterium
Lineage: Bacteria
Description: partial 16S ribosomal RNA
Rfam family: Bacterial small subunit ribosomal RNA
Source: RNAcentral